RNAcentral lists this transfer RNA (101 nucleotides) under Ustilaginoidea virens. It matches the Rfam family "tRNA". Rfam says of the family: Transfer RNA (tRNA) molecules are approximately 80 nucleotides in length. Their secondary structure includes four short double-helical elements and three loops (D, anti-codon, and T loops). Lineage: Eukaryota; Fungi; Ascomycota; Sordariomycetes; Hypocreales; Clavicipitaceae. The record is from Rfam by way of RNAcentral.
GGCCGUGUAGCUCAAUGGCAGAGCGUCUGACUACGAUUAACCUCCUCUAGGAGUUGAUCACUGUAAUCAGAAGGUCGCAGGUUCGACCCCUGUCUCGGUCA